GUCUACAGCCAUGCCAUCCUGAACGUGCCCGAUCCCGUCUGAUCUCAGAAGCUAAGCAGGGUCGGGCCUGGUUAGUACUGGGAUGGGAGACCACCUAGGAAGACCAGGGGCUGUAGGCA
RNAcentral lists this ribosomal RNA (119 nucleotides) under Pteropus alecto (black flying fox). Lineage: Eukaryota; Metazoa; Chordata; Mammalia; Chiroptera; Pteropodidae. The record is from RNAcentral.